UCCGGCGGCGGACCUCGCCGUGUGCUGUGUUGCGCCCUCACUGUGGUCCGACGUACAGAGGAAAGCCCGCCCCAUCCCCGCACCUCCGUUCUCCACCUCCGCGCCACCCUCCAACCCACCCCCUCACUACACCUGGCGCCUACCUCCGCCAUCCGCCGGCGGCUAGAUCCGCCGUUCGCCGAUGCCGGAGAAGAGAAAUCAAGCCAUCAGGUUCAGGGAAUGAUGGAGUCAAUGACUAGUAUUGCUCCACGUGUCAGGUCAACUAUAGCGAUUGGACUUGAAGAUGAUGCCAACAAUUUUUCCUUGGUCCAAACGAGAUUCGGCAUACAUGAUGAAGAUUGUUACAGCACAUCGAAAAGAACAAGUAGCCUACCCGCAUGAGGGUCAACUUACGAGCCAGAAUAUGAUGACAGCCUACAACCCUCAAUUGGAAUGCGAUUUGAUAGCUGGGAGGCAGGUUUGACAUUCUAUAGAAUGUAUGCUCAUGAGGUUGGCUUCUCUGUACGCAUAUGGACACAACACAAAGGAGAGGGCGGUGUAAUAAUCUGGAAGAACUUUGUUUGCGCAAGACAAGGUUGGAGGAAGAAAAAAUCAGUGGAUCUAGGUCAAGUUACUCAAGAAGUGGAGAGAAAAAAGGCUAAAAGAAAUAUCAAGAUAAGCAGAUGCGGUUGUGAGGCUAUGAUGGGAUUGAAGAGGCAAGAUGACAACAAGUACGUGGUCGUCCAAUUUGUUCAAUCGCACACCCACCAACUUGUCUCCCCAAGUAAGAGGCAUCUCAUCAGGUCAAAUAAAGAGGUAACUAGUGAUUUGAGAAACAAAUUAUUUACAUGCAGUAAGGCAUUUCUUGGCACUUCAAAAACUUUUCGCUUGCUUAGCAUAGAGAAGGGUGGGCCAGAAAAUAUUGGUUGCACAGAACGUGACUUACAAAACUGUCACCUUGAUUUAAAGGCAGCGAUUACGGGGGCAGAUGGACAACUUAUAGUAGAUAUAAUGGAAAA
This is a long non-coding RNA of Aegilops tauschii subsp. strangulata, 998 nucleotides long. RefSeq lists it as uncharacterized. Lineage: Eukaryota; Viridiplantae; Streptophyta; Magnoliopsida; Poales; Poaceae. The record is from RefSeq and is a predicted model, not a curated record.